This 484-nucleotide ribosomal RNA is filed under the name uncultured bacterium. Its description in RNAcentral is "bacterial SSU rRNA". It matches the Rfam family "Bacterial small subunit ribosomal RNA", at positions 28 to 536 of the family's 1533-position model. The record is from RNAcentral.
GGUGAACGCUGGCGGCGUGCCUAACACAUGCAAGUCGAGCGGUGCAGUUUGAAGCUUCGGUGGAAAGCUGCAUAGCGGCGGACGGGUGAGGAAAACGUAGGAACGUGCCCCUUGGAGUUGGAUAGCCACGGGAAACUGUGGGUAAACCGACAUAGACUCGAGAGAGUAAAGGCCGAAAGGCGCCAAGGGAGCGGCCUGCGGCCCAUCAGGUAGUUGGUAGUGUAAAGGACUACCAAGCCGACGACGGGUAGCCGGUCUGAGAGGAUGGCCGGCCACAAGGGCACUGAGAGACGGGCCCUACUCCUACGGGAGGCAGCAGUGGGGAUUUGGACAAUGGGCGAAAGCCUGAUCCAGCGACGCCGCGUGGAGGACGAAAGCCCUUCGGGGUGUAAAACGUCCUUUCUUCAGGGAAAAAGGAUGAUGGUACCUGAGGAAUAAGCCCGGCUAACUACGUGCCAAGCAGCCGCGGUAAAAAUAGCGUACU